Long non-coding RNA from Homo sapiens (human), 1078 nucleotides. RefSeq lists it as uncharacterized. NCBI's taxonomy places the organism in Eukaryota, Metazoa, Chordata, Mammalia, Primates, Hominidae. The record is from RefSeq and is a predicted model, not a curated record. The transcript has 4 exons.
UGCUCUCGAAGGCUUCUGUACUCUUGCAUCGGAAAUCAUCUCCUUUUCUUCUCCAUCCCUUUGUCUCUCCUAACUUAUUGCAUCACAUCAGCACCAGCUGGCUGUACCCCAUAUUAGAGGAAGAUGGGGCCCAGCCAAUGAUUGCUUCUCUGAACUAAGCUGUACCCUGGUUAUGCUGGAACUCAACCUCACCUGUAUACGGGUGAACCAUAAGAUGGUCCUUGCUACAUCACUAGCCUUCCCUUAUCUAGCAAGAAAAACCUGCUCUUGAUAGUCUGCUGAAUAGUGACUGAGAUGACUGGCAGUAAAAUAGGAGACUUUUCAAGUGGAUGAAAGUUAAAUUCAAUAGGUGAUGCUGUGAACCCUCCCCAAGGGAGGUACCAAAAGCCUGCAUGAAGCAAAAACUGGAAACAAAUAAAGGAGAGUAUGGUGACUUUGCACUAAGUUACUCAUUUAUUCACAUAAUUAAUGAGUUUCUAUUAGUGUUAGGCACCGUUCUAGAUGAUGGUAUAAUUAGUUAACAAAAACCUCAAAACUCUCGCCCCCCAUGGAGCUUACAUUUCCAGGGAGGGAGAGAGAUGAUACAACAAUAAGAAAAUACAGAGCUAAUGUCAUUCUAUAUUGUAUAAUUAUGUAAAAUCAAGCCUGAGUAUUUGACAGCUUCUCAGAUACCACAGAUCUGUUGUUUAAUGAAAUCAGCCUAAAAGAUAAAAUUGUGUAUUUGCAUGUACACAUCACCUUGCCUGUAUUAUGAGUCAGCGUUUCUUCUUAUAAGAAACCACAGCUUGGUAAAAGGUAGAAGCUCAAUUUCCUAAUAAAGAGAUAUGUUUUACUAGGCAGGCUGUUGCACUGCAUAUUACUCUCUCUGACCUUGGCUUUAGUCCAAGGAGGAUUAAACCCAGAAAGAGAAGGGAGUAAAGCAAGGUGUAGCAGAAAAGCAAAACAAAACAAUACAAAAUAACCUCAAAGAAAUUAGUAACAAUAAUUAGUGCAUUCAGAGAUUAUAUCUUUCUUUCUUUUUUUCCUUUUUUUUUUUCUUUCGAGACGGAGUUUUGCUCUUGUUGCCCAGGCUGGAGUG